RNAcentral lists this ribosomal RNA (468 nucleotides) under uncultured bacterium. Its description in RNAcentral is "partial 16S ribosomal RNA". It matches the Rfam family "Bacterial small subunit ribosomal RNA", at positions 28 to 507 of the family's 1533-position model. The record is from RNAcentral.
GACGAACGCUGGCGGCGUGCUUAACACAUGCAAGUCGAACGGAAAGGCCCUGCUUUUGUGGGGUGCUCGAGUGGCGAACGGGUGAGUAGCACGUGAGUAACCUGCCCUUGACUUUGGGAUAACUUCAGGAAACUGGAGCUAAUACCGGAUAGGAGCUCCUGCUGCAUGGUGGGGGUUGGAAAGUUUCGGCGGUUGGGGAUGGACUCGCGGCUUAUCAGCUUGUUGGUGGGGUAGUGGCUUACCAAGGCUUUGACGGGUAACCGGCCUGAGAGGGUGACCGGCCACAUUGGGACUGAGAUACGGCCCAGACUCCUACGGGAGGCAGCAGUGGGGAAUAUUGCACAAUGGGCGGAAGCCUGAUGCAGCAACGCCGCGUGCGGGAUGACGGCCUUCGGGUUGUAAACCGCUUUCGCCUGUGACGAAGCGUGAGUGACGGUAAUGGGUAAAGAAGCACCGGCUAACUACGUG